RNAcentral lists this long non-coding RNA (424 nucleotides) under Androctonus crassicauda. The record is from RNAcentral. Lineage: Eukaryota; Metazoa; Arthropoda; Arachnida; Scorpiones; Buthidae.
UAUCGGGGUUUGUCAUUUCUUAAAACAUUAAACAGAGUAUUUCUUCUAUUGAAGAUUAUCUUUGCUCCCGAGGCUUUUUCAAUUUUCUUUCUAUAUUUGAGUGUGAUUGGAUUGAUGUCCAUAGUAAAUCGUUUUUUCUUCGCAUUGUCUUCUCUCUCGGAUCCGUUGUGUUUGAUUUGUAUGUUUUGUGUAUAUUGCAUCCCACAAUUUCUCAAUGGUACAGGCACUGUGGCCGUGGACAGUUGCUUGCUGUUUUGUCCAUUCCAGUUCGUUGUAUUUACUUGUCAUUGUUGUGCAGAGUGUUUUGGCUCUUUCAAGCAGGGCUCUGAAUGCUGAUAUCUUGUACAUCCAUGGCUCCUUUGAGUUCGCAUCAAUGAAGGGUGGUAGUUACGGUCUAUUGCAAAAAGUUUUGUGCAUGAAGGGC